This 73-nucleotide transfer RNA is filed under the name Candidatus Latescibacterota bacterium. RNAcentral describes it as "Candidatus Latescibacteria bacterium tRNA-Ala". It matches the Rfam family "tRNA". Rfam says of the family: Transfer RNA (tRNA) molecules are approximately 80 nucleotides in length. Their secondary structure includes four short double-helical elements and three loops (D, anti-codon, and T loops). Lineage: Bacteria; Pseudomonadati; Candidatus Latescibacterota. The record is from RNAcentral.
GGGCCCGUAGCUCAGUUGGAAGAGCAUCCGCUUUGCAGGCGGAAGGCCCCGGGUUCAAAUCCCGGCGGGUCCA